GUUCCGCUGCUUUUGACCCGUCUUGGUGGCGAUGCGCAGCUGUGCAGUGUGGUGCUUCUGCGUUCCGCUGCUUUUGACCCGUCUUGGUGGCGAUGCGCAGCAGUGCAGUGUGGUGCUUCUGCGUUCCGCUGCUUUUGACCCGUCUUGGUGGGAUGCGCAGCUGUGCAGUGUGGUGCUUCUGCGUUCCGCUGCUUUUGACCCGUCUUGGUGGCGAUGCGCAGCGUGCAGUGUGGUGCUUCUGCGUUCCGCUGCUUUUGACCCGUCUUGGUGGCGAUGCGCAGCUGUGCAGUGUGGUGCUUCUGCGUUCCGCUGCUUUUGACCCGUCUUGGUGGCGAUGCGCAGCUGUGCAGUGUGGUGCUUCUGCGUUCCGCUGCUUUUGACCCGUCUUGGUGGCGAUGCGCAGCUGUGCAGUGUGGUGCUUCUGCGUUCCGCUGCUUUUGACCCGUCUUGGUGGCGAUGCGCAGCUGUGCAGUGUGGUGCUUCUGCGUUCCGCUGCUUUUGACCCGUCUUGGUGGCGAUGCGCAGCUGUGCAGUGUGGUGCUUCUGCGUUCCGCUGCUUUUGACCCGUCUUGGUGGCGAUGCGCAGCUGUGCAGUGUGGUGCUUCUGCGUUCCGCUGCUUUUGACCCGUCUUGGUGGCGAUGCGCAGCUGUGCAGUGUGGUGCUUCUGCGUUCCGCUGCUUUUGACCCGUCUUGGUGGCGAUGCGCAGCUGUGCAGUGUGGUGCUUCUGCGUUCCGCUGCUUUUGACCGUCUUGGUGGCGAUGCGCAGCGUGCAGUGUGGUGCUUCUGCGUUCCGCUGCUUUUGACCCGUCUUGGUGGCGAUGCGCAGCUGUGCAGUGUGGUGCUUCUGCGUUCCGCUGCUUUUGACCCGUCUUGGUGGCGAUGCGCAGCUGUGCAGUGUGGUGCUUCUGCGUUCCGCUGCUUUUGACCCGUCUUGGUGGCGAUGCGCAGCUGUGCAGUGUGGUGCUUCUGCGUUCCGCUGCUUUUGACCCGUCUUGGUGGCGAUGCGCAGCUGUGCAGUGUGGUGCUUCUGCGUUCCGCUGCUUUUGACCCGUCUUGGUGGCGAUGCGCAGCUGUGCAGUGUGGUGCUUCUGCGUUCCGCUGCUUUUGACCCGUCUUGGUGGCGAUGCGCAGCUGUGCAGUGUGGUGCUUCUGCGUUCCGCUGCUUUUGACCCGUCUUGGUGGCGAUGCGCAGCUGUGCAGUGUGGUGCUUCUGCGUUCCGCUGCUUUUGACCCGUCUUGGUGGCGAUGCGCAGCUGUGCAGUGUGGUGCUUCUGCGUUCCGCUGCUUUUGACCCGUCUUGGUGGCGAUGCGCAGCUGUGCAGUGUGGUGCUUCUGCGUUCCGCUGCUUUUGACCCGUCUUGGUGGCGAUGCGCAGCUGUGCAGUGUGGUGCUUCUGCGUUCCGCUGCUUUUGACCCGUCUUGGUGGCGAUGCGCAGCUGUGCAGUGUGGUGCUUCUGCGUUCCGCUGCUUUUGACCCGUCUUGGUGGCGAUGCGCAGCUGUGCAGUGUGGUGCUUCUGCGUUCCGCUGCUUUUGACCCGUCUUGGUGGCGAUGCGCAGCAGUGCAGUGUGGUGCUUCUGCGUUCCGCUGCUUUUGACCCGUCUUGGUGGCGAUGCGCAGCUGUGCAGUGUGGUGCUUCUGCGUUCCGCUGCUUUUGACCCGUCUUGGUGGCGAUGCGCAGCUGUGCAGUGUGGUGCUUCUGCGUUCCGCUGCUUUUGACCCGUCUUGGUGGCGAUGCGCAGCUGUGCAGUGUGGUGCUUCUGCGUUCCGCUGCUUUUGACCCGUCUUGGUGGCGAUGCGCAGCUGUGCAGUGUGGUGCUUCUGCGUUCCGCUGCUUUUGACCCGUCUUGGUGGCGAUGCGCAGCUGUGCAGUGUGGUGCUUCUGCGUUCCGCUGCUUUUGACCCGUCUUGGUGGCGAUGCGCAGCAGUGCAGUGUGGUGCUUCUGCGUUCCGCUGCUUUUGACCCGUCUUGGUGGCGAUGCGCAGCUGUGCAGUGUGGUGCUUCUGCGUUCCGCUGCUUUUGACCCGUCUUGGUGGCGAUGCGCAGCGUGCAGUGUGGUGCUUCUGCGUUCCGCUGCUUUUGACCCGUCUUGGUGGCGAUGCGCAGCUGUGCAGUGUGGUGCUUCUGCGUUCCGCUGCUUUUGACCCGUCUUGGUGGCGAUGCGCAGCUGUGCAGUGUGGUGCUUCUGCGUUCCGCUGCUUUUGACCCGUCUUGGUGGCGAUGCGCAGCUGUGCAGUGUGGUGCUUCUGCGUUCCGCUGCUUUUGACCCGUCUUGGUGGCGAUGCGCAGCUGUGCAGUGUGGUGCUUCUGCGUUCCGCUGCUUUUGACCCGUCUUGGUGGCGAUGCGCAGCUGUGCAGUGUGGUGCUUCUGCGUUCCGCUGCUUUUGACCCGUCUUGGUGGCGAUGCGCAGCUGUGCAGUGUGGUGCUUCUGCGUUCCGCUGCUUUUGACCCGUCUUGGUGGCGAUGCGCAGCUGUGCAGUGUGGUGCUUCUGCGUUCCGCUGCUUUUGACCCGUCUUGGUGGCGAUGCGCAGCUGUGCAGUGUGGUGCUUCUGCGUUCCGCUGCUUUUGACCCGUCUUGGUGGCGAUGCGCAGCUGUGCAGUGUGGUGCUUCUGCGUUCCGCUGCUUUUGACCGUCUUGGUGGCGAUGCGCAGCUGUGCAGUGUGGUGCUUCUGCGUUCCGCUGCUUUUGACCCGUCUUGGUGGCGAUGCGCAGCUGUGCAGUGUGGUGCUUCUGCGUUCCGCUGCUUUUGACCCGUCUUGGUGGCGAUGCGCAGCUGUGCAGUGUGGUGCUUCUGCGUUCCGCUGCUUUUGACCCGUCUUGGUGGCGAUGCGCAGCUGUGCAGUGUGGUGCUUCUGCGUUCCGCUGCUUUUGACCCGUCUUGGUGGCGAUGCGCAGCUGUGCAGUGUGGUGCUUCUGCGUUCCGCUGCUUUUGACCCGUCUUGGUGGCGAUGCGCAGCUGUGCAGUGUGGUGCUUCUGCGUUCCGCUGCUUUUGACCCGUCUUGGUGGCGAUGCGCAGCUGUGCAGUGUGGUGCUUCUGCGUUCCGCUGCUUUUGACCCGUCUUGGUGGCGAUGCGCAGCUGUGCAGUGUGGUGCUUCUGCGUUCCGCUGCUUUUGACCCGUCUUGGUGGCGAUGCGCAGCUGUGCAGUGUGGUGCUUCUGCGUUCCGCUGCUUUUGACCCGUCUUGGUGGCGAUGCGCAGGUGCAGUGUGGUGCUUCUGCGUUCCGCUGCUUUUGACCCGUCUUGGUGGCGAUGCGCAGCUGUGCAGUGUGGUGCUUCUGCGUUCCGCUGCUUUUGACCCGUCUUGGUGGCGAUGCGCAGCAGUGCAGUGUGGUGCUUCUGCGUUCCGCUGCUUUUGACCCGUCUUGGUGGCGAUGCGCAGCAGUGCAGUGUGGUGCUUCUGCGUUCCGCUGCUUUUGACCCGUCUUGGUGGCGAUGCGCAGCUGUGCAGUGUGGUGCUUCUGCGUUCCGCUGCUUUUGACCCGUCUUGGUGGCGAUGCGCAGCUGUGCAGUGUGGUGCUUCUGCGUUCCGCUGCUUUUGACCCGUCUUGGUGGCGAUGCGCAGCAGUGCAGUGUGGUGCUUCUGCGUUCCGCUGCUUUUGACCCGUCUUGGUGGCGAUGCGCAGCUGUGCAGUGUGGUGCUUCUGCGUUCCGCUGCUUUUGACCCGUCUUGGUGGCGAUGCGCAGCUGUGCAGUGUGGUGCUUCUGCGUUCCGCUGCUUUUGACCCGUCUUGGUGGCGAUGCGCAGCUGUGCAGUGUGGUGCUUCUGCGUUCCGCUGCUUUUGACCGUCUUGGUGGCGAUGCGCAGCUGUGCAGUGUGGUGCUUCUGCGUUCCGCUGCUUUGACCCGUCUUGGUGGCGAUGCGCAGCUGUGCAGUGUGGUGCUUCUGCGUUCCGCUGCUUUUGACCCGUCUUGGUGGCGAUGCGCAGCAGUGCAGUGUGGUGCUUCUGCGUUCCGCUGCUUUUGACCCGUCUUGGUGGCGAUGCGCAGCAGUGCAGUGUGGUGCUUCUGCGUUCCGCUGCUUUUGACCCGUCUUGGUGCGAUGCGCAGCGUGCAGUGUGGUGCUUCUGCGUUCCGCUGCUUUUGACCCGUCUUGGUGGCGAUGCGCAGCUGUGCAGUGUGGUGCUUCUGCGUUCCGCUGCUUUUGACCCGUCUUGGUGGCGAUGCGCAGCUGUGCAGUGUGGUGCUUCUGCGUUCCGCUGCUUUUGACCCGUCUUGGUGGCGAUGCGCAGCUGUGCAGUGUGGUGCUUCUGCGUUCCGCUGCUUUUGACCCGUCUUGGUGGCGAUGCGCAGCAGUGCAGUGUGGUGCUUCUGCGUUCCGCUGCUUUUGACCCGUCUUGGUGGCGAUGCGCAGCUGUGCAGUGUGGUGCUUCUGCGUUCCGCUGCUUUUGACCCGUCUUGGUGGCGAUGCGCAGCUGUGCAGUGUGGUGCUUCUGCGUUCCGCUGCUUUUGACCCGUCUUGGUGGCGAUGCGCAGCUGUGCAGUGUGGUGCUUCUGCGUUCCGCUGCUUUUGACCCGUCUUGGUGGCGAUGCGCAGCAGUGCAGUGUGGUGCUUCUGCGUUCCGCUGCUUUUGACCCGUCUUGGUGGCGAUGCGCAGCGUGCAGUGUGGUGCUUCUGCGUUCCGCUGCUUUUGACCCGUCUUGGUGGCGAUGCGCAGCUGUGCAGUGUGGUGCUUCUGCGUUCCGCUGCUUUGACCCGUCUUGGUGGCGAUGCGCAGCUGUGCAGUGUGGUGCUUCUGCGUUCCGCUGCUUUUGACCCGUCUUGGUGGCGAUGCGCAGCUGUGCAGUGUGGUGCUUCUGCGUUCCGCUGCUUUUGACCCGUCUUGGUGGCGAUGCGCAGCUGUGCAGUGUGGUGCUUCUGCGUUCCGCUGCUUUUGACCCGUCUUGGUGGCGAUGCGCAGCUGUGCAGUGUGGUGCUUCUGCGUUCCGCUGCUUUUGACCCGUCUUGGUGGCGAUGCGCAGCUGUGCAGUGUGGUGCUUCUGC
RNAcentral lists this ribosomal RNA (4988 nucleotides) under Leishmania braziliensis MHOM/BR/75/M2904. The record is from RNAcentral. Lineage: Eukaryota; Euglenozoa; Kinetoplastea; Trypanosomatida; Trypanosomatidae.